Carya illinoinensis is the source of this 865-nucleotide long non-coding RNA. RefSeq lists it as uncharacterized. The transcript has 3 exons. Lineage: Eukaryota; Viridiplantae; Streptophyta; Magnoliopsida; Fagales; Juglandaceae. The record is from RefSeq and is a predicted model, not a curated record.
AGGGCAACGUCCUGAGAGUUUGAUUCUUCUCCAUGCCUACAUAUAUAUUUUUUCAUGAAGAGGGUGAUUGCUCGCCAAGUUUUGAGGAUGCACAUAGUUGUAAGAGUGAGGGUGAUUCCUCUCCAUUCAUAUACGUGUUCUUCUAAUAUUUACAUGAAAUGUUUUUAUAGCAUUUUUUGUAACAUUAUCUCUCAUUAGCAAUCUUGUUAUAUCCGCUUAACUUACCCCGGAAUUCUUGUAAGUGUUACAGAGGGAAUGUGUGGAGCUUAGAGGUUGCUCAAAAAUCUCUGUCAGGAAUUAUAUUAGAUUCUUGGUUCAUUCUUGUGUUCACGUUCUUGAUUCUGUGUGACAGUGUGUGCAAUCUUGCACUACACUGUUCUGACUUCAUUUGCAUUCGGUGGUGUUCUUCCUUAGAGGUCAAGGGAAGCAGGAGCAAUGUGUAUCUACUCGGCAUUGUUCAUGAGAUUUGCGUGGAUGUAAAGCCCCACAAUUAUCUACUUCUGACAUGCCAUGCCUCGAAUGAGACCGUCCAACUCUAUCAACUUUCUUGAUGGGGGUCAGGGGCUCUUGUCAGACAAGAAAGAGAGCUGCAUCUCAGUAACUUGCUGCCACCAUGUUUUCCAUACCUAUGCUCUUGCUUUUGGUUUGCGGUUUCUGCAGAACUCAUACUCAUUUGAAGCAAGUUGCAUUUAAUCUUUUCUGACAGUGUAAGCAUUAUUGAGCAAAUCACUAUUAAGUGAAUCUUUUGCCUAUUAUCUUUAUUUGUACUAUGAUGUUUUUAUCAUCGGAUGUGGAAAUUGAUGCUUAACUUACAAGUUUGAGCUCUAAAUGAGUGGAGUCCACUAUUAAAAAUUUAAUUUUUUCA